This 658-nucleotide ribosomal RNA is filed under the name uncultured bacterium. Its description in RNAcentral is "bacterial SSU rRNA". It matches the Rfam family "Bacterial small subunit ribosomal RNA", at positions 249 to 898 of the family's 1533-position model. The record is from RNAcentral.
UUGGUGGGGUAAUGGCUCACCAAGGCUACGACGGGUAGCUGGUCUGAGAGGAUGAUCAGCCACACUGGGACUGAGAUACGGCCCAGACUCCUACGGGAGGCAGCAGUGGGGAAUUUUGCGCAAUGGGCGAAAGCCUGACGCAGCAACGCCGCGUGAGCGAAGAAGGCCUUCGGGUUGUAAAGCUCUGUCAGGGGGAAAGAAGGCACCUGGGUUAAUAGCCCAAGGGCUGACGGUACCCCCAAAGGAAGCCACGGCUAACUACGUGCCAGCAGCCGCGGUAAUACGUAGGUGGCAAGCGUUGUCCGGAAUCAUUGGGCGUAAAGAGCGCGUAGGUGGCUUGUCAGGUCUGAUGUGAAAUCCUGGGGCUCAACUCCAGAACUGCAUCGGAAACCGGCUUGCUAGAGUCUGGGAGAGGAGAGUGGAAUUCCUGGUGUAGAGGUGAAAUUCGUAGAUAUCAGGAGGAACACCGGUGGCGAAGGCGACUUCCUGGCCCUAUACUGACGCUGAGACGCGAGAGCGUGGGUAGCAAACAGGAUUAGAUACCCUGGUAGUCCACGCCGUAAACGAUGUUCACUAGGUGUUGGGGGGUAUUGACCCCCUCAGUGCCGGAGCUAACGCAUUAAGUGAACCGCCUGGGGAGUACGGUCGCAAGACUAAA